Molecule: long non-coding RNA, 1944 nt
Organism: Aethalodelphis obliquidens (Pacific white-sided dolphin)
Lineage: Eukaryota; Metazoa; Chordata; Mammalia; Artiodactyla; Delphinidae
Exons: 3
Source: RefSeq, a predicted model, not a curated record
AGGAAGUGAUCUCUUCAAAGAGCAGCCAAAGGGAACCUACUCCCUUCUGCCUUUUCGGAAUCAACUAACCAAUAUUUUAUUUCCUUCUUAAGAGUCCCCACAUGUUCCUUUUGGUACUUAGCUUGGCCUUUUAGAAUUCUGACAUUCUGUGCGUGACUCAUCCACUGUAUUUCACGUUAAUUUAUUGAGGUCAAGUAUAGGGUCUUACUCAUCCUGAAGUCCAGUUAUCCCCUGUCACAUCUAACUCUGUUCUUUUCUUCUUGUAGGACAUCUGCAGGUAUUUAUUUGAAUUUUGUUGAAUUGUUCUCAUCAAUAUGAGAAGAGAGCAGGCUGAAUGGAAGAAAGUCAUUAUGACCACUGGGGCCGCUAGGGGGUGUCCAGAGAAGGUAACUACUUUGCCCACGUCCUAAACUGGUAAGUAACAGAUUAAGAAUUCAAGUCUAGGAAGUCUGAUUCCAGAGCCCACACCUCUACCCUUUCUGCAUGUAGAGAGGAAUAAAGGGUUGUCAGUGAAGCCUUCCUGGGGGCCCUGGCCUCUGAGUGUAGAUAGAAGGAUGAGUGGACAUAAAGAUCAUUAUUUGUGUGUGGUGGGGGUAGGGGAGGAAGUACGAGGGCUUCCAGAAGAGCCCGCCCUCCCCAUACAUCUGCUAUAAGCAAGUCUGAUGAUCAGGAGUCCGGAACAUGAGUAUGACUAUGGGAUACUGAGAAGGGUUCUAGAACCCUGAGGUUAGAGUUCUGGAUCAGUUAGUAGGUAACAGAAAGUGAAUGAGUGAUUUACCUUACUUUCCACGGGUAGCAGGAAGUUUGGAGAUAGUCCCUCUAGCGUUAGUCCAGCUGCUGAAGGGCAUCACCAGGGGACUGGGUUGCUUCGCUCUUCCAGCUUCCACAUCUCUAGCAUGUCCGCAUAGCUUCAAAGUGACCCCAGAAUCUCCAAUAGUGUUCCAACAAUUUGGGCAGGAAGAAAGAAAAGGAAAAAAAACAGAAAUUAAGUAAGAAAAAAAAGGCAGUGUCUAACUCAGAGAGCAAAUUUUUUACCACAGAUGGUCAGCAGACUUGCACUUAGAUCUCAUCAGCUCGGAUUUUAAACUGGCCACCUUAGCCUUAAGGAUAAUGGGGUCUCCUAAACCAGGGCUCUGAUAGUAAGGAAUAAGGAGAGAGUGGUCCUGAUUAGCAGUGCCUGCUGUCCCAAACAAAUAUUACCCCCAAACUAUUUUUUUUAUCCUAUAUUUUACUUUAAAGAAUGGAGGGGAAACAUUAUGUAUCUGUAAAUAGCCUUUUAGAAAGGGUACAAUUAUAUAGUUAUACAACCCUCUGGAGGGCUCCUUUCUUCUGAAAUCUCUUUAAAAACUGUUCAAGGUUAAGGACAUUUUUAUCUUAAUUUAGUAACUUGCAGUCGAUUAUCUUGGAAUGACAUCCUCUCUCUGCAGAUGUUCUGUCAGGCUUUAGAAAAUUCUAGAAGUGGACAGAGAAGUGUUAUGGUACAUGUAUUUGCAAUAUGCACGUCUUUGAAAUGAAAUCCAUUUAGGGACCAAAAGGCAUUUCAUGUCUUUGCUAUACAUUUUCACAUAUUUGCCUUUCCAGAAUUCCUUUGAGCAAAUCUGUUAGAUGUAACCCAUCCAUUUCUCCCAUCUGAAUUCUUUAUUACUAAACAUUCUUCAGUAUGCUCUCACUCCCCUCUGUCAAAGGCGUUUCUCUGGGUCCUCACCCUUCUCAUCUCAUAUGUGAAUGCGUAUCUUAAACUGAAGCAACAGUCUGCUAUGACUUCUCCAUCACUUGAAGAACCCGUCUUUGUGGGAAAAAAAGUAGACUUACUAACUUAGAAGGUAAAAUGCGCGCAAUGUUUCUGAGAAUUAAAAACUAAGAUAAAAACAUAAGCAAUGGAAAAAACUUACAGUGGAUCCUUUUCAAAGACUUUAUUUUACAGAGAAGGCAACUGAGGUUUAA